This 374-nucleotide long non-coding RNA is filed under the name Mytilus galloprovincialis (Mediterranean mussel). The record is from RNAcentral. Lineage: Eukaryota; Metazoa; Mollusca; Bivalvia; Mytilida; Mytilidae.
GGUCUUUGCAUCGGAAUUAAACACAUUUAUAUUUUUAAAAAACAGUUAUUGGCAUGACACGGGUUAUGUUCUUCUCAUAUAUUUUAUGAUAGUAUGAUACUAAACCCUAACGGGGGGAUUGUGCCUGAUAUUCAUAUGAUGAAGACAUAAUCUUUCAAUCAGUUUAAUUGAGGUCUGGAGCUGGCAUGUCAGUUAACUGCUAGUAGUCUGUUGUUAUUUAUGUAUUAUUGUCAUUUUAUUUAUUUUCUUUUGUUACAUCUUUUGACAUCGGACUCGGACUUCUCUUGAACUGAAUUUUAAUAUGCGUAUUGUUAUGCGUUUACUUUUCUACAUUGGCUAGAGGUAUAGGGGGAGGGUUGAGAUCUCAUAAACAU